AAAAUAAUAGGUUAAACAAACCACUGUUUUGUGGUAACAGAAUUGAACUAAAGUUCUUAUUUUA
RNAcentral lists this transfer RNA (64 nucleotides) under Craspedonirmus immer. RNAcentral's name for it is "tRNA-His". The record is from RNAcentral. Lineage: Eukaryota; Metazoa; Arthropoda; Insecta; Psocodea; Philopteridae.